Long non-coding RNA from Panonychus citri (citrus red mite), 558 nucleotides. RefSeq lists it as uncharacterized. The transcript is spliced from 3 exons. The record is from RefSeq and is a predicted model, not a curated record. NCBI's taxonomy places the organism in Eukaryota, Metazoa, Arthropoda, Arachnida, Trombidiformes, Tetranychidae.
AUCGGGCAAUAAGAAUGAAUGAAAAAAAAACAAACUAUACAAUCAUGUCAUCAAAAGAAAUGAACAAAAUCCUUCAUUUUUAGGAGAUUUUCUUAGAUUAUGUGGAUAAAGAUGAUAUCAAGUGAAUCAUUUUCAUGCUGAUGACAAAGAUGAAGAAGACAGAAAGAGACACAGAGAUGAAGAGUCAAUGGUUCGGAUAAGACAAAAAGUUUCCUUGUUUUCUGCUUAUUCCCGAUUAUCUUGAUAUUCACAAUUAUUGUCACGCAAUUGAAGAUAAUCAGUUAAAUAUGGUUCAUCUUUUAGCUUAACUAUUUAAUAAUAUUAUUUAUCGUUAUCAUUAUCAUCAUAUUAAUGUUAUCAUAAACUUUUGUUUGUUAUCCUUUAGUUUCCGGGAUAAAUAAAUUACCAACUGAAACCGAGGAAAAGGAAAGGAUAACAAUUUAACCGAUUGACAAUUGAUUGACAAUUAAAGUUAUCGAAGGGAGCAAAAACGAUAAUAAUAUGAUGAUAUUAUUUUCUCAUUAAUUUAAUAUUCUCAUUUUUCAACAUUCACAUUUU